UACAGAGGGGGCAAGCGUUGUUCGGAAUUACUGGGCGUAAAGGGCGCGUAGGCGGCCUGCUAAGUCGAACGUGAAAUCCCCGGGCUCAACCCGGGAACUGCGUCCGAUACUGGCAGGCUUGAAUUCGGGAGAGGGAUGCGGAAUUCCAGGUGUAGCGGUGAAAUGCGUAGAUAUCUGGAGGAACACCGGUGGCGAAGGCGGCAUCCUGGACCGGCAUUGACGCUGAGGCGCGAAAGCCAGGGGAGCAAACGGG
This 253-nucleotide ribosomal RNA is filed under the name uncultured bacterium. Its description in RNAcentral is "partial 16S ribosomal RNA". It matches the Rfam family "Bacterial small subunit ribosomal RNA", at positions 524 to 776 of the family's 1533-position model. The record is from RNAcentral.